AACGAACGCUGGCGGCAUGCCUAACACAUGCAAGUCGAACGAGACGUUCGGGCCUAUUGGCGCACGGCUGGGUAACGAGGGGGAACCUGCACGUAGGUUCGGAGUAACUCCCCGAAAGGGGUGCUAAGACCGGAGAAUGUCAUCGGACAUAAGAUUUAUCGCCUUUGGAUGGGCCCGCGAUGGAUUAGCUAGUUGGUAGGGUAAAAGCCUACCAAGGCGACGAUGCAUAGCUGGUCGGAGAGGAGGAUCAGCCACACUGGGAAUGCGACCCGGCCCAGACUCCUACGGGAGGGAGGAGUGGGGUGUAUUGGGCAAUGAGCGAAGGUCUGAUCCAGCCACGCCGGGUGAGUGAGGAAGGGCUUAGGGUUGUAAUGCUCUUUUACCCGGGAUGAUAAUGACAGUACCGGGAGAAUAAGCUCCGGCUAACUCCGUG
Molecule: ribosomal RNA, 433 nt
Filed under: uncultured bacterium
Lineage: Bacteria
Description: partial 16S ribosomal RNA
Rfam family: Bacterial small subunit ribosomal RNA
Source: RNAcentral